RNAcentral lists this ribosomal RNA (253 nucleotides) under uncultured bacterium. RNAcentral's name for it is "partial 16S ribosomal RNA". It matches the Rfam family "Bacterial small subunit ribosomal RNA", at positions 524 to 776 of the family's 1533-position model. The record is from RNAcentral.
UACGUAGGGGGCAAGCGUUGUCCGGAUUUAUUGGGCGUAAAGAGCGUGUAGGCGGCCAGACAGGUCCGUUGUGAAAACUCGAGGCUCAACCUCGAGAUGUCGAUGGAAACCGUCUGGCUAGAGUCCGGAAGAGGAGUGUGGAAUUCCUGGUGUAGCGGUGAAAUGCGCAGAUAUCAGGAGGAACACCAAUGGCGAAGGCAGCUCGCUGGGACGUGACUGACGCUGAGACGCGAAAGCGUGGGGAGCAAACAGG